Molecule: non-coding RNA, 110 nt
Organism: Acanthosepion pharaonis
Lineage: Eukaryota; Metazoa; Mollusca; Cephalopoda; Sepiida; Sepiidae
Source: the annotation of a GenBank genome assembly
UUACGGUCAUAUCACGUUGAAACACCGUUACCGUACGAUCAUCGAAGUUAAGCAAGGUAAAGCCUAACCAGUAUCUAGAUGGGUGACCGCUUUGGAAUACCAGGUAAUGU